This 2951-nucleotide long non-coding RNA is filed under the name Sorghum bicolor (sorghum). RNAcentral describes it as "long non-coding RNA (SBIC_LNC012562)". Lineage: Eukaryota; Viridiplantae; Streptophyta; Magnoliopsida; Poales; Poaceae. The record is from RNAcentral.
CAUCACUCUUCAAGUAAGGUAACACCUUAAGGUACUUGACUAUCACUUUUAUAAGCUUCUCCUUGGUUCUGGCGUGAACAUAAAUAAAGAGACAAACAUGUAUGAUUUAUAACUCCAACCCAACUGAUUCAGCAUGUUUAGUCCUUUAAUCUUUGUUCCUAGUACUACCUCCAUGAUCCUACACUCCUAAUCAUAUGAGCUAAAAUGUUGCACAUUCAAUCUUUAAAGAAAAAGACAUAUACAUAGAUAGAUUAUCUUUCCAUAAGGUUGAGCGAUCUGAUCUGACAAAUGUUAUAAGUGCUACACUCAUGAACUUAUCAUCCAUCAACUUUGUCUUGCUCACCAUGCUUAAGGUUAGAGAAGAACAAAUACACUUUUGGUUCUGUUGGUGUUUUCCACCAACAGGGCCCAUGCACUUGAUCUCUGCCUUGUCUCUGUGAGCAGGUACACUACAAGCACAAACACAUUAAGCAGGAUGCUGCCAACGCCGCACUUCAAACUACUGGGCAAACGAAGAACAUGGGUGACACCGUAUCAAGAGGUGCAGACGUCAAGGUCCGCACCUGAAUCAAAUGACGCACCUGAAGAAUGAACACAGUGAGAAGUCUUGUUAAGAAGACUUAAAACAAGAUCGGUAGUUAUCCAUAUUUAUCCUUUCUGCAUUCCCUUUUCCCUUUAAUUAUUUACUUUCCUUAAAUAGAUUAUUAGUUAAUCAUGCUAUCUUGAAAAGAAAAUAAAAAUGUUAAAAAAUACUAAGCCCCGUGUGAGUAUACGAGUGACAUAAAACCCAUAAGUACCUUCACUGUGGUGGCAUAAAAAUAAAAUAAAUAUUUCUUUUCUACUUUAUAAAAUAAAAAUUUAAAAACAGGGAGUAAUAUUUAUUGAGGAAGCUCAACAUGAUGAAGGCUAGAUAUUUAUGCUAACACUUAAUUAGUUCCACAAGCUUUGUUGUCUAUUUGAGCUCCACAGAAUUUAAGAAUCAAGAAGACUAGCAGACGAAGGACAUUCUAAUCGCUGUCAGAAUGCUGCUGACUUUCAAAUACACCUCUGCCACCUGCUAGCUACAUCAAGAGAAAUUACGUCAAAAUUCAGCUUGGGGGAGAGCACCCCCAUUUAUCUCGCUAAGUAUUUCUACCUAUCUUUAUACUUAUAUUAUGUUAGAAUAUUAAAAUACAUAAACUAUGAAAAACUGAAUAAAGAUUUUGUGCUUAUAUAUAUCUUUUGUUUAGUGUAUUUAAUAAAUAAAUAAAGUGGCUAUGCUAAUCUGAAUCUUAAUAAUAAAACUCUAGUAUGGAUAUGAUGAAUAGUUGCUCUGCCUAAUUUGCAAAUUUGAAGUUCUCUCUCAAGUUUAGACAUAACUGUUAUAAUUUAAAGCUUGCUCUAGAUCUAAACUUGUGGGAUGAAAACUUGAUCUGAAAUCUAAGUUGUUAACGGAUAUGACAUGGGAAGGUUGAGCUGCUGUUUAUCUGUUCCUAGAGAUGCUAGAAUUCUGGAGAAUUUUAUCUUUGAAAAAUCUUUAAAAUAUUGCAUGAUGAGUUCCUGUAUGAUGAGAGUUUAAAUUCCUACCACAGCCAUAUAUACAUGCUUGCUAGACUUUGAGCCACACAUUUACUAUUUACUGCUUAUGAGCAUUGAGUGUGGUCAAGCUGUGUAGACCCUUAGGAGCUUGUCAUGUGGUUAAAUCAAGAUUCACUUGCACAUUCACUCAUAUAUGCUACUUCUACUCUAGAAGUACCAUCCACAUAUAUCCAUCCAUUGUCAUCUCCAGAAUCACCUAAAAAUAUUCUACUCCUAAUUCGGGAGAGAAUAGCCAAAAACAUCUGUGUUUUCCCCUGUGAAAUAAAUCCUCAAGUUAUCUUGUUACUACCACUUGCUAUAUUAUCUCAAGAGAUGAGUGCUUUGAAAAAAAAGAAAAAAAAUAAAUGAGGAAAUAAAAAGGGGCAAGUGCCCGGAACCUCGAAAGAAAGAAAAAGUGAGACGAGAGGUAAAAAUGGACAAGUGUCCGACAGUAGAAUUAGGAGUACAAGAUACCCAUCUAAGAGGAAAGAAAAAGAAGAGCAUCUCAUUCUCCUCAUAAAGUUUCAAAAAGCAAGGAAGGUAUGUAUCCCCUCAAAAGAGCAAAAGUAGAAUUAGACUUUCACCAUCAUCACCAUACACCAUUCAUUCGCCACACAUGCACAUCUUGAUUUGGCUUAUUGAUUUGUUUCUUUGGAUCCAUGGUUUGACUAUACAAUAAAUGUGUUGUAAGUAUGUAUACUUUAUCUCCCACCUAUGAGCUCCAGAUAUUAAAGCCUUAUUAGAGUAGGGUGAGAGAGAAGGUAAUGUCACAAUGCCUUAUACCACAAAUACCACAUAUCUUGAGAGAAGGCAUAUACCAUCACUGCCUUGGUAAGGAUCCAGAAAUACCACAAAAGAGAGAUUUAGAGAGUCAUACAAGGAAUCUCUGAGUUUUAUUUGAAAAUCUGCAAAAACUCCAGAGCUAUAGCUGAUCAAGAAUAAGAGACAUGGCACUUGGCUAGACUGUUCUAUCUUUUAACUACUCAAGACAGAAGUGACGGUUACAAGUCUCAUGGUGAAAGGUAAAGUAAGUAAGUUUUAGUUCUUGACAGUUUACUCUAACUCAGAGAUGAGAUCUUAUUUAAAAGCAUGUGUACCAUCAAAUUUUUAAGAUAUUGCAACAACUUCUGAUCCAUUGCUGAGUCUAUCCUUGCUUAGGGACAAGCAAGAGGUAAGCUUGGGGGAGUUUGUUGACGAUCCUUAAGUAUCAAAUUUAAUUAUCAAAUAAACAAAGAAAAGGAUCCAAAUGAAAUCAACAUCUAGACUUAGGGUUUUAUCUGACAGAAUUCCAUGAGUUUUGGUGUUUGUCUAAUUCUGCAGGGGGUUAUCAGGAGAUAUGAAAGAAAGGCUCACACGUCGGGUUUACAAAGAGAUAUUAACGUGCCGUGCAAUUU